ACCAACGGUCGCUACUCAACAACGACUUAACAGUGUCCACCUUCGGUUUAUCAUCGGCUAUACGCAACUUCUCCUACCUCCUCUCUACCGCUACAUCAUCCGCUACUGAUACGCCAAUAAAUCCAGAAUAUAGUGUAGCGUUUAGAAAGUCCUUUAGCAAGCGAAGUAUAAAAAUAUCGAUUAACAUUUGAAUUUGAGAAAGAAUUUGAGGAUUCUCAGACUCAUUUAGAGAUGGAAUUUAGUAGUUGCGAGUUUCUCAUUUCUUAUUUUGAAGUUGUCACCAGAUAUUGAAUUUUUUAACGAAGUAAUAGUAUCGAUAGUAAAAGAAUUCGUCUGAAUAUAAAGAAACCAUUGCAUGUUAGUACCAUUUUUAAUAAAAAAAUCUUUCAGGAGAUAAUUCAUAAAAAUAUCGAUUGACAUUUGAGAAGAUCGAAAAGCAUUCAUCAGUUGCUACAUACGAAUGCUUAUGGACUUUGGAAAAUUUUACAUCUUGUUAUUAUCUCUUGGAAUCGAAUUACUUUACGAAGUAAUUGUACUGAAGAUAGAAGAUCGUAGGAAAUUAUUAUAUAUUAAAAAACCCGUGAAUAAGAAGAACGAAAGAAAAGAAGAAAUACAUUCUGUGUAACGCCAAAAACUUGUAAUAGACAUCAGGAGAGCAGUACGCGUAUAAUCUAAUCUAAUCUAUUCGAAUUUUUUGUAGACAAUGAGUGCAAUUGUAACAGUAUUUGCAAUGACACAAAUAUGUUAUCGUUCCUUCCUACUCGUUAACAUCGUAUUUAUCCAUCUGUAAUCUGCGUUUGUGUUAAUUUAAAGGGACUUUGUGUUGCCAUAGAGAAUUUCCAAGGUGAUAAUAAGUAGUGUGGAGAAAAAAAUGAAAAAGAAUUUGUAUCGUGGGACGAAACGUUGAAACAACUUUGGAGUAACUGUGAAAAAAAAAGAAAAGGGGAAUCGAUCCCCAUGGAGGAAUAAUAAUGGCUAUUUAAGAGCAAUCGCGACGAACGCCGCGCGAAUACUGGGACAAACGAGUCUCGAGAAAAACCGAUCGAAUACAGCAGCUUCUGGUAAAUGCGUUUCGUGACCUCGUUAUCGAUACGAAGUGUCAAUCGAUGACCGUUCCGGCUACGGCAUGCAAAUUCUGAUUCUUUUCUUCGCGUAAACAAGCUUAUAUUCCGAUUGAACGUUACUUUCUGAACAAUCGAUGCGUUUUACGACUAACGAGAGAAACAUAGUAUACAUUUUACGUACAUAUUUGGUUCAUGGAAAAGUUGUGAUCACCAGAUCUUCUUCUAUAAGAGCUUCUAUAAAAUUUACAAGUUUAUUUAGAGAUUAAGACAGAUGACAGAUAGUUGAACAGAUAGGAUUAACUAUUCAUCAUUGAACAUAACUAAAAGAAUUAACAGAUAAAAUAAUAUUUGAUAUCGAACUAUAAUCUAUAAGAAUAGUAUUUAUUCAAGUAUAAAAAGAUGACAUAAUAUUGCUAGAAAGAAAUUAUCGGCUAUUGAUAAUAAAUUAUUUUAUGAUAGAAUGUA
This is a long non-coding RNA of Bombus huntii, 1529 nucleotides long. RefSeq lists it as uncharacterized. The record is from RefSeq and is a predicted model, not a curated record. Lineage: Eukaryota; Metazoa; Arthropoda; Insecta; Hymenoptera; Apidae. The transcript has 4 exons.